Molecule: ribosomal RNA, 513 nt
Filed under: uncultured bacterium
Lineage: Bacteria
Description: partial 16S ribosomal RNA
Rfam family: Bacterial small subunit ribosomal RNA
Source: RNAcentral
GACGAACGCUGGCGGCAUGCCUAAUACAUGCAAGUCGAGCGAACAGAUGAAGUGCUUGCACUUCUGACGUUAGCGGCGAACGGGUGAGUAACACGUAAGGAAUCUACCUAUAAGCGGGGGAUAACAUUCGAAAACGGGUGCUAAUACCGCAUAAUAUCUUCUUCCGCAUGGAAGAAGAUUGAAAGACGGCUCUGCUGUCACUUAUAGAUGACCUUGCGGUGCAUUAGUUAGUUGGUGGGGUAAUGGCCUACCAAGACGAUGAUGCAUAGCCGACCUGAGAGGGUGAUCGGCCACAUUGGGACUGAGACACGGACCAAACGCCUACGGGAGGCAGCAGUAGGGAAUCUUCCGCAAUGGGCGAAAGCCUGACGGAGCAAUGCCGCGUGAGUGAAGAAGGCCUUCGGGUCGUAAAACUCUGUUAUAAGAGAAGAACAAAUUGUAGAGUAACUGCUACAGUCUUGACGGUAUCUUAUCAGAAAGCCACGGCUAACUACGUGCCAGCCGCCGCGGUAA